GGCCCUUUUUUUCUCCAGCUCGCCAGCGAGGACGGUCGCACAGCAAUCGGCAGCAAUAGGCAGCGUGAAGCCGAAGGACCAUCAUCACCGCCGGAUACAUCACCGUGCCAGCUUUAGCAAGCGUCAACGCCGGGCACGUUAGUUUCACCCGUUUUCAUCACCGCCGUGCCAACUUCAUCAAGCGUCAACGCCGGGCACGCUAAUUUCACCCGUUUUCAUCAACGCCGUCUACAUCGCCGUACCAGCUUUAACAAGCGUCAACGCCGGGCACGUUAAUUCCGUUUAUUUCCGUCGCCGUGCCAGUUUCAACAAGCGUCAACACCUGGCUCAUAGAUUCCGUUUAUUUCCGUCGCCGUGCCAGUUUCAACAAGCGUCACCGCCUGAUUCAUCAAUCCCGUUUAUUUCCAUCGCCGUGCCAGUUUCAACAAGCGUCAACACCUGGCUCAUAAAUUCCGUUUAUUUCCGUCAUCGUGCGAGGUUCAACAAGCGUCACCGCCUGACUCAUCAAUCCCGUUUAUUUCCAUCGCGCUGGUCUGGCUGUCCGCAUAAGGAGUGGGGGUGUGGAUAUAACUUUACGAGGAUAAAA
Bactrocera neohumeralis is the source of this 586-nucleotide long non-coding RNA. RefSeq lists it as uncharacterized. NCBI's taxonomy places the organism in Eukaryota, Metazoa, Arthropoda, Insecta, Diptera, Tephritidae. The record is from RefSeq and is a predicted model, not a curated record. The transcript is spliced from 2 exons.